UCGUGCUAGGUGGGGAGUUAGCGGUGCCCUGAACCUGCAAUCCGCUAUAGCAGGGCUGAAUGCUUAUACUGAGGCUUAUGUUUGUGGGGCUUGACCCUAGCAAGUAGUGUUGACAGUUGGGUCCGACGCAACAAGAAUUUGUGAACCCCGUCAGGUCCGGAAGGAAGCAGCGGUAAGCGAACCCUCUUGUGUGCCGUUGGGUAGCCUGACUCGAGCUAACUACUAGGGUAACACUUGGAAGCAUAUUGUCGAAUAUAAGGCACGG
This 265-nucleotide signal recognition particle RNA is filed under the name Clostridium sp. 'deep sea'. RNAcentral's name for it is "Bacterial large signal recognition particle RNA". It matches the Rfam family "Bacterial large signal recognition particle RNA". Rfam says of the family: The signal recognition particle (SRP) is a universally conserved ribonucleoprotein involved in the co-translational targeting of proteins to membranes. Archaeal SRP consists of a 7S RNA and homologues of the eukaryotic SRP19 and SRP54 proteins. The record is from Rfam by way of RNAcentral. Lineage: Bacteria; Bacillati; Bacillota; Clostridia; Eubacteriales; Clostridiaceae.